Molecule: ribosomal RNA, 270 nt
Filed under: Aspergillus fumigatus
Lineage: Eukaryota; Fungi; Ascomycota; Eurotiomycetes; Eurotiales; Aspergillaceae
Description: partial small subunit ribosomal RNA
Rfam family: Eukaryotic small subunit ribosomal RNA (bases 1-150)
Source: RNAcentral
UUGGUGGAGUGAUUUGUCUGCUUAAUUGCGAUAACGAACGAGACCUCGGCCCUUAAAUAGCCCGGUCCGCAUUUGCGGGCCGCUGGCUUCUUAGGGGGACUAUCGGCUCAAGCCGAUGGAAGUGCGAGGCAAUAACAGGGUCUGUGAUGCAAAAAUAGGACUUCGUGUCUGCACAGGUGGUUCUCUUUGAAGUGUGUGGCCCCCGUUUGGAGGUGGGCAUUGUAGGUUCUGUGCUGAGGCUUAUGCCUUUAAACAGACAAUAUGUCCCCA